GGAAUGGAGGAUGCGUACGAGGAGUCAGGAGAGGCGUUAGCCUCCCCUGCGAUAUUUUUCACCGAAUAUGUUUUAAAAAAAUAUGUUAGAUAUACAUUAUUUUCAAAUAUUAAACCCUAAACUACACUUAAUAUUGUGAAUUGGUGCAAAAAGGAGAAGAGCCUUUGGAGGAUUUUGAACCUCCCGAAUACUCAACCAAACCCCCUAAAAUAAAGCCUUCAUCAAGUAAAUACUAAGUAUACACAAUCAAUAUAAUUGGGGCUUAAGCCAACAUCAAAAGUAUUUGCACUAUUUGUGCUUAUGAAUUUUGCGUAAGGUUUGAUUUUAAUAACCAUUGUCUCCCCUGUUAAGAAGACCUG
Cinara cedri is the source of this 359-nucleotide non-coding RNA. NCBI's taxonomy places the organism in Eukaryota, Metazoa, Arthropoda, Insecta, Hemiptera, Aphididae. The record is from the annotation of a GenBank genome assembly.